UUACGGCCAUAUCACGUUGGAACACCGGAUCCCGUGCGACUUCCGAAGUUAAGCAACGACUAUCUUGUUCAGUAGCUAGAUGGGUGACUGCUUGGGAAUAUCAGGUGUUGUAAG
Acanthosepion pharaonis is the source of this 114-nucleotide non-coding RNA. Lineage: Eukaryota; Metazoa; Mollusca; Cephalopoda; Sepiida; Sepiidae. The record is from the annotation of a GenBank genome assembly.